AAAAAAAAAAAAAAAAGGCAACCCGAAUACAUGUCUUGUAGACGAAAGUUAUUAUUGUCUCACUCAGGCACGGGCAAGUUGAAAUUGAAACCAAGCAAUUGCCAAAGGGCCUCUUUACUUGCAAGGGUCCUUUUUAAUCAUUUCUUCCCAUGCAAGACUUUGAUCAUGCUUUAAAGUGAGAAUCCGAUUCACUUUGGGCCCCCCUUGCACUGUUGCACAUGCCAAGUUGUCUUGUCUUUGAUGAGUUGUUUCCAUCAGCGCCACCUGAAGUCAUUUGCUUUUCAAGAAAAAGGUCCAAAAGAGGGCCAAAACAAUUAUCUGACAAAGCCUCUGGCCCCUUGUCUUUGCUUCUGCCGUCCUCUCGUGACUCCCCGCAGACACGAGCCAGUGACUAAGAAUAAAGUGGAAAAUGUCACAUUCCUCGUCUCUUACAUACUAUUUUCCUAUAAAUCAGUGCCCAGUAGUCGUAGAUGAGAAGAGAGGGGAAGAGCCAUGGCUAGGACUAGCAGCAAGGUUUUGGCGCAGGUAGUGGUGGUGAUGGUGCUGAUUGCAAUGGUGGGAGGGGCCUCGGCUGCUACCAUAUGCAACAUAGACACCUCCAAGCUGGCUGAAUGCCUACCAGCAGUGAGCGGGCGUUCACCUCCACCACCUACCAAGGCUUGUUGCACUGCCUUGCUCAGCGCCGACCUUCAUUGUUUGUGCAACUACAAAUCUGCCCUUCCUGCAUUUGGAAUCAACCCAGCACUUGCAAUGGCCCUGCCAAAAAAAUGCGGCGGUUCCCUCCCACCAAAUUGCAAGGGUAACAAGUUCAAACUUCAUUUUUCAUCUUCCUUGUGACGUUCUUUCAUCCAUCACAUAACAGCUUUUUUGACAUGAGUGCCUAUGCCUAGUUGUUAAGUUGCCGAUCACUUGGUGUUGUUAUCUAAUAAACUAUUUCAUGUUGUUUCAGUG
This 951-nucleotide long non-coding RNA is filed under the name Vitis vinifera (wine grape). Its description in RNAcentral is "long non-coding RNA (VVIN_LNC006493)". Lineage: Eukaryota; Viridiplantae; Streptophyta; Magnoliopsida; Vitales; Vitaceae. The record is from RNAcentral.